Molecule: ribosomal RNA, 447 nt
Filed under: uncultured bacterium
Lineage: Bacteria
Description: bacterial SSU rRNA
Rfam family: Bacterial small subunit ribosomal RNA
Source: RNAcentral
AACGAACGCUGGCGGCAUGCCUAACACAUGCAAGUCGAACGAAGCCUUCGGGCUUAGUGGCGCACGGGUGCGUAACGCGUGGGAAUCUGCCCUUGGGUUCGGAAUAACAGUUAGAAAUGACUGCUAAUACCGAAUGAUGUCUUCGGACCAAAGAUUUAUCGCCCAAGGAUGAGCCCGCGUCGGAUUAGCUAGUUGGUGAGGUAAAGGCUCACCAAGGCGACGAUCCGUAGCUGGUCUGAGAGGAUGAUCAGCCACACUGGGACUGAGACACGGCCCAGACUCCUACGGGAGGCAGCAGUGGGGAAUAUUGGACAAUGGGCGAAAGCCUGAUCCAGCAAUGCCGCGUGAGUGAUGAAGGCCUUAGGGUUGUAAAGCUCUUUACCCGGAUGAUAAUGACAGUACCGGGAGAAUAAGCCCGGCUAACUCCGUGCCAGCAGCCGCGGUAAU